RNAcentral lists this ribosomal RNA (257 nucleotides) under uncultured bacterium. Its description in RNAcentral is "partial 16S ribosomal RNA". It matches the Rfam family "Bacterial small subunit ribosomal RNA", at positions 96 to 353 of the family's 1533-position model. The record is from RNAcentral.
UGGCGGACGGGUGAGUAAUGUCUGGGAAACUGCCUGAUGGAGGGGGAGUAACUACUGGAAACGGUAGCUAAUACCGCAUAACGUCGCAAGACCAAAGAGGGGGACCUUCGGGCCUCUUGCCAUCGGACGUGCCCAGAUGGGAUUAGCUAGUAGGUGGGGUAACGGCUCACCUAGGCAACGAUCCCUAGCUGGUCUGAGAGGAUGACCAGCCACACUGGAACUGAGACACGGUCCAGACUCCUACGGGAGGCAGCAUG